RNAcentral lists this unclassified non-coding RNA (336 nucleotides) under soil metagenome. RNAcentral describes it as "partial contains 5.8S ribosomal RNA, internal transcribed spacer 2, and large subunit ribosomal RNA". The stretch from base 1 to 120 matches the Rfam family "5.8S ribosomal RNA", at positions 35 to 154 of the family's 154-position model. The record is from RNAcentral.
GAUGAAGAACGUAGCGAAAUGCGAUAAGUAAUGUGAAUUGCAGAAUUCAGUGAAUCAUCGAAUCUUUGAACGCACAUUGCGCCCGCCAGUAUUCUGGCGGGCAUGCCUGUUCGAGCGCCAUUUCAACCAUCAAGCCCCAGGCUUGUGUUGGGGACCUGCGGCUGCCGCAGGCCCUGAAAACCAGUGGCGGGCUCGCUGUCACACCGGGCGUAGUAGAUUUUAUCUCGCUCAGGGCGUGCUGCGGGUUCCGGCCGUUAAAAAGCCUUUUUUACCCAAGGUUGACCUCGGAUCAGGUAGGAAGACCCGCUGAACUUAAGCAUAUCAAUAAGCGGAGGA